This 845-nucleotide ribosomal RNA is filed under the name Halomonas sp. M6-24C. RNAcentral's name for it is "bacterial SSU rRNA". It matches the Rfam family "Bacterial small subunit ribosomal RNA", at positions 41 to 883 of the family's 1533-position model. The record is from RNAcentral. Lineage: Bacteria; Pseudomonadati; Pseudomonadota; Gammaproteobacteria; Oceanospirillales; Halomonadaceae.
GGCAGGCCUAACACAUGCAAGUCGAGCGGUAACAGAUCUAGCUUGCUAGAUGCUGACGAGCGGCGGACGGGUGAGUAAUGCAUAGGAAUCUGCCCGGUAGUGGGGGAUAACCUGGGGAAACCCAGGCUAAUACCGCAUACGUCCUACGGGAGAAAGGGGGCUUCGGCUCCCGCUAUUGGAUGAGCCUAUGUCGGAUUAGCUAGUUGGUGAGGUAAUGGCUCACCAAGGCAACGAUCCGUAGCUGGUCUGAGAGGAUGAUCAGCCACAUCGGGACUGAGACACGGCCCGAACUCCUACGGGAGGCAGCAGUGGGGAAUAUUGGACAAUGGGCGCAAGCCUGAUCCAGCCAUGCCGCGUGUGUGAAGAAGGCCUUCGGGUUGUAAAGCACUUUCAGCGAGGAAGAACGCCUAGGGGUUAAUACCCACUAGGAAAGACAUCACUCGCAGAAGAAGCACCGGCUAACUCCGUGCCAGCAGCCGCGGUAAUACGGAGGGUGCGAGCGUUAAUCGGAAUUACUGGGCGUAAAGCGCGCGUAGGUGGCUUGAUAAGCCGGUUGUGAAAGCCCCGGGCUCAACCUGGGAACGGCAUCCGGAACUGUCAAGCUAGAGUGCAGGAGAGGAAGGUAGAAUUCCCGGUGUAGCGGUGAAAUGCGUAGAGAUCGGGAGGAAUACCAGUGGCGAAGGCGGCCUUCUGGACUGACACUGACACUGAGGUGCGAAAGCGUGGGUAGCAAACAGGAUUAGAUACCCUGGUAGUCCACGCCGUAAACGAUGUCGACCAGCCGUUGGGUGCCUAGCGCACUUUGUGGCGAAGUUAACGCGAUAAGUCGACCGCCUGGGGAGUAC